Molecule: non-coding RNA, 148 nt
Organism: Gorilla gorilla gorilla (western lowland gorilla)
Lineage: Eukaryota; Metazoa; Chordata; Mammalia; Primates; Hominidae
Rfam family: Metazoan signal recognition particle RNA
About the family: The signal recognition particle (SRP) is a universally conserved ribonucleoprotein. It is involved in the co-translational targeting of proteins to membranes.
Source: Rfam
GCUGGGCGUGGUGGCGCGUGCCUGUAAUCCCAGCUACUCGGGAGGCAGAGGCAGGAGAAUCGCUUGAACCAGGGAGGCAGAGGUUGCAGUGAGCCAAGACCUCGCUACUGCACUCCAGCCUGGGUGACAGAGUGAGAUUCUGUCUCAG